GGGCUGAGCCUCUUUGGGUGAUGUGAAGCCAAGGCCGGUAAAAGCAGAAGAAAAGCAGGGCUCAGCUGAGGUGCCGAGGAGGUCUGAGAUAAGAUGGGGCCACAGCGGGGAGCCCAGCGCCGGUGAAGGGCGGUUGGAACACGUGCUCCUUGAAGUCGCUAGUGCCAUGCAGCCUUGGAACGUUUGCACAGAACGCACAAACGGCAAUCCCAACAGACUCUCCAAGGCCCAGCUACUCUGCGCUCCCACGGGCAAAUGUUUGGGACCAAGAGAGACCCUCGUUAACUCUCCAGUACCAGGCACAGGGCAGCAACUUGGGAGAUCAGUCCCUACCGUCUUCCUGCCCUUUCCUGGGAACACUGCCAAUCACAGCCUGCUCCAGGCUGGGGCGUGGAAGUGGACCUCCUGGGAGUAUGGAAUGAGAAAGCUUGUAGGGCGGCCUAUUUCCCUGUGGGUCACCAAGAUCGGCUGAGACAGGGUGUGUGCUGAGGUGUCUGGGCACACUACCACCGACCUUUUCCUUUCCAGUAAUUUACUCCGGGUACCUGGACUGUGAUCUUUUAAAUCAUGGUUUGGGGAACUCUGUUCUCCAGCAACCUCUGAGCGACCCCCCCCCCCAUCAGAAUUGCCAGGUGCCCUUCUGCAAAAGCCAGACAGUAGUCCCAGCCUGUCUGCAAAGCUCCCACUGUGUGUAGAAAAUACAGUGGCUGUUACAUGCCGACUUUGUCCAGACAGUGCUAAAUUCAUUUUUUUUUUUUCUGGGUAGAUUACUUUUGGGUUUUGUAUUUGUUAGGUUUCUCUAUUGCUGUGAUGAAACACCAUGACUAAAAAUCAACUUGGGGAGGAAAGGAGUUGGGGUGGGGGAGGGGGGAGUCCAUCUUGAAGAGAAAUCAGGGCAGGAACUGAAGCAGAGGCCAUGGAAAUGAGUGCUGGUGACUGGCUUUCUCCUUAAGGCUUUGCUACAACCCAAAACCAUCUGGCCAGGGGUGACGCCACCUCCUCACACAGUGGACUGGACCUUUCUCAUCAAGCAAGCAAGCAAGUGCCCGCUCAGACUUGCCUACCAGCCAAUCUGAUGGAGGCAUUUUCUCAAGCGGCUGUGGGACCUUGGGGCCAGGCCGGGCAAAACCGGAGAAACCUUCCGGCUACAGUUGUGGAACCUGUUUUAAGAGAUACAAUAUGACCAGCCACCUCAGGCUCCGGCUGCCAUGCUGUGGUCGCUAAUCUUGGUUGUCAACUUGACACACCCAGGAAGAGAGAACCUCAAUUGUACUGCUUCCGUCAAACCUGGCCUGUAGUCGCUAAUUGAUGGAGGAGGGCCCAGUCCACUGUGGGUGGCGGCAUCCCCACACAAAUGGUCCUGGGCUAGAAGAGAGGUAGCUGGAUGUGAGCCUCAGAGCAUGCAGGUCAAUAAGCAGCAUUCCUCCUCUGUGUUUUGUUGUUGUUGUUGUUGUUGUUUGUUUGUUUGUUUGUUUGUUUGUUUUUGCUUCAAGCUCCUACCUUGAGGUCCUGCCUUGGCUUCCCUAGAC
This is a non-coding RNA of Peromyscus maniculatus bairdii (prairie deer mouse), 1529 nucleotides long. NCBI's taxonomy places the organism in Eukaryota, Metazoa, Chordata, Mammalia, Rodentia, Cricetidae. The record is from RefSeq and is a predicted model, not a curated record.